AUACGUAGGGGGCGAGCGUUGUCCGGAAUGAUUGGGCGUAAAGGGCGCGUAGGCGGCCCGGUAAGUCUGGAGUGAAAGUCCUGUUUUUAAGAUGGGAAUUGCUUUGGAUACUGUCGGGCUUGAGUGCAGGAGAGGUACGUGGAAUUCCCAGUGUAGCGGUGAAAUGCGUAGAGAUUGGGAGGAACACCAGUGGCGAAGGCGACUUACUGGACUGUAACUGACGCUGAGGCGCGAAAGUGUGGGGAGCAAACAGGAUUAGAUACCCUGGUAGUCCACACUGUAAACGAUGAAUGCUAGGUGUAGGGGGUAUCGACCCCUUCUGUGCCGCAGUCAACACAAUAAGCAUUCCGCCUGGGGAGUACGGCCGCAAGGUUGAAACUCAAAUGAAUUGACGGGG
RNAcentral lists this ribosomal RNA (397 nucleotides) under uncultured bacterium. Its description in RNAcentral is "partial 16S ribosomal RNA". It matches the Rfam family "Bacterial small subunit ribosomal RNA", at positions 523 to 918 of the family's 1533-position model. The record is from RNAcentral.